This 439-nucleotide non-coding RNA is filed under the name Streptomyces albidoflavus. Lineage: Bacteria; Bacillati; Actinomycetota; Actinomycetes; Kitasatosporales; Streptomycetaceae. The record is from RNAcentral.
GCGUGGCGCGGUGCCGCUGUGCGUGCUCAUGGUCUCCUUCAGGGGUUCGGUCCGCGCGGGUUCGGCACCGGUCAUGCGGCGCCGAGUGCCAGUACCGAGGUCUGGCUGCCGAUGGCGAAGGCCAGCGACACCGCGAGUUCGGUGCGGGUCGCGCGGGCCCCCUCGGCGACGUGGUCGUGGUCGCACUCCGGGUCGGGCACGGCGUCCGCGUAGUUGGCGGUCGAGCACAGGCACUGGUGGUGCAGGGCCAGCGAGGUGGCCGCCGCGUUGACCAGGGCGGCGGCGCCCAGGAGGUGGCCGUACACCGGCUUGACGGAGCUGAGGGGCGGCCAGGCGGACCGCGGGCGGCCCUCGUACAGGGCACCGAGCAUGCGGCUCUCGGCCACGUCGUUCUUCGGCGUGGCGGUGCCGUGCGCGCAGAACCAGUCGACGUCCCGCG